UCUUUACGAAUUGAGCUAGUGCACUAGCAUUCGGCGCCCCAAACUUAAUGGCGGUCAAACGCGGUCUUCAUAUAAAUUAGGGCCAAUUUCAAUUCCGUCUUCCCAGGGUUCUUUCUCUUUUCUUAUAAUCAGGGAUUUUUCGGUCGUCGGUCCGAGCAGCCGAUCGAAAGAAGAAGAAAACCAAAAUGAUGGAACCGAAAUGAAUAGCCGUCGCACAAGACAUUCAUAAUAAAGAAGAAGUUGGCCAAGAAGAAGAGGCAAAAUAGGCCUAUCCCUCACUGGAUCCGAAUGCGCACAGAUAAUACCAUCAGGUAUAAUGCAAAGCGCAGGCACUGGCGUCUACAAAGCUCGGGUUUUGAGGUUCUUGGUUGUUGUUUGUGUUUUGUAGCUUGAUUUGUGACUAAUUUUAGGUUAGUUAGUUACAGUUAAAGAAAUAGAUUAUACACAACUUGUGGGUUUGCAUUUAAAUCAAGUAAAUUCCAGUUUGUGUGAGGAAAUUGUAUGGGUUAGGUUUAAAGAUAAUCUUUUGAAUUCAGGUUUUGUUUCAACUAUAUGAGUUCUUUUAAUGAGUUCUGGAUUUAAGUUUUGCUUUGAGUAGGAAA
Molecule: long non-coding RNA, 602 nt
Organism: Gossypium arboreum
Lineage: Eukaryota; Viridiplantae; Streptophyta; Magnoliopsida; Malvales; Malvaceae
Exons: 3
Source: RefSeq, a predicted model, not a curated record